AUUGAACGCUGGCGGCAUGCCUUACACAUGCAAGUCGAACGGCAGCACGGGUGCUUGCACCUGGUGGCGAGUGGCGAACGGGUGAGUAAUACAUCGGAACGUACCUUAUCGUGGGGGAUAACGCAGCGAAAGUUGCGCUAAUACCGCAUACGCCCUGAGGGGGAAAGCGGGGGACCGUAAGGCCUCGCGCGAUUAGAGCGGCCGAUGUCUGAUUAGCUUGUUGUGUAGGUAAAAGCUCACCAAGGCGAUGGUCAGUAGCUGGUCUGAGAGGACAAUCAGCCACACUGGGACUGAGACACGGCCCAGACUCCUACGGGAGGCAGCAGUGGGGAAUUUUGGACAAGGGGGGCAACCCUGAUCCAGCAAUGCCGCGUGAGUGAAGAAGGCCUUCGGGUUGUAAAGCUCUUUUGUCAGGGAAGAAACAGCAGCUCUAACACAGUCUGCGAAUGACGGUACCUGAAGAAUAAGCACCGGCUAACUACGUGCCAGCCGCCGCAGUAA
RNAcentral lists this ribosomal RNA (501 nucleotides) under uncultured bacterium. RNAcentral describes it as "partial 16S ribosomal RNA". It matches the Rfam family "Bacterial small subunit ribosomal RNA", at positions 30 to 523 of the family's 1533-position model. The record is from RNAcentral.